GACGAACGCUGGCGGCGUGCUUAACACAUGCAAGUCGAACGGAAAGGCCCUGCUUUUGUGGGGUGCUCGAGUGGCGAACGGGUGAGUAACACGUGAGUAACCUGCCCUUGACUUUAGGAUAACUUCAGGAAACUGGGGCUAAUACCGGAUAGGAGCUCCUGCCGCAUGGUGGGGGUUGGAAAGUUUCGGCGGUUGGGGAUGGACUCGCGGCUUAUCAGCUUGUUGGUGGGGUAGUGGCUUACCAAGGCUUUGACGGGUAGCCGGCCUGAGAGGGUGACCGGCCACAUUGGGACUGAGAUACGGCCCAGACCCCUAGGGGGGGCAGCAGGGGGGAAUAUUGCAAAAGGGGCGGAAGCCUGAUGCAGCAACGCCGGGGGGGGGAUGGCGGCCUUCGGGUUGUAAACCGCUUUCGCCUGUGACGAAGGGGGAGUGACGGUAAUGGGUAAAGAAGCACCGGCUAACUACGU
This 467-nucleotide ribosomal RNA is filed under the name uncultured bacterium. Its description in RNAcentral is "partial 16S ribosomal RNA". It matches the Rfam family "Bacterial small subunit ribosomal RNA", at positions 28 to 506 of the family's 1533-position model. The record is from RNAcentral.